AGCUCCAAUAGCGUAUAUUAAAGUUGCUGCGUUUAAAAAGCUCGUAGUUGGAUCUCAGUCUCGAUCGGUCGGUCCAUCCUCUGGGUGGUUACUGGCUCAAUCGGACGUUGUUGGCCACGUUUCCGAGCAUGCUCUUCAUUGAGUGUGUUCCGGAGAGUGGAGCGUUUACUUUGAAAAAAUUAGAGUGCUCAAAGCAGGCGUCGUGCCUGGAUAGUCGUGCAUGGAAUGAUGGAAUAGGGCCUCGGUUCUAUUUUGUUGGUUUCCGGAACUCGAGGUAAUGAUUAAUAGGGACGGACGGGGGCAUUUGUAUUGCGACGUUAGAGGUGAAAUUCUUAGAUCGUCGCAAGACAAACUACUGCGAAAGCAUUUGCCAAGAAUGUUUUCAUUAAUCAAGAACGAA
Molecule: ribosomal RNA, 400 nt
Filed under: phytoplankton environmental sample
Lineage: Eukaryota
Description: partial small subunit ribosomal RNA
Rfam family: Eukaryotic small subunit ribosomal RNA
Source: RNAcentral